This 273-nucleotide ribosomal RNA is filed under the name uncultured bacterium. Its description in RNAcentral is "partial 16S ribosomal RNA". It matches the Rfam family "Bacterial small subunit ribosomal RNA", at positions 524 to 796 of the family's 1533-position model. The record is from RNAcentral.
UACGUAGGGGCCGAGCGUUGUCCGGAGUUAUUGGGCGUAAAGCGCGCGCAGGCGGCUUCGCGCGCCCGACGUGAAAGCCCCCGGCUUAACCGGGGAGAGUCGUUGGGGACGGCGGAGCUUGAGGGCGGGAGAGGGCGGUGGAAUUCCCGGUGUAGUGGUGAAAUGCGUAGAGAUCGGGAGGAACACCUGUGGCGAAGGCGGCCGCCUGGGCCGACCCUGACGCUGAGGCGCGAAGGCGUGGGGAGCGAACGGGAUUAGAAACCCCCGUAGUCC